AAUCUUCUCCUUCCCUUUGGCCUUAGACGAAUCGACCACUUCCUUUGCUACAAACCACAAUCAAAACAAUAAAACAAUGUUAGAGAAAUAUAAUCAAACAUCAAAUCCUUCUAAAACUAUUAGUGAGAUGCAAACUGAUAUAGUGAAAUAUUUUCUCACUUUUUUUGACAACUCAAGAGAACUCCAAUCUAACCCAUUUGAAAUCAAAAUCUAACCUCAAAAUGAAGUUUAGAAACUCCUAAACACUCUAAAUCGUUAACAACACUAGCUCCUAAGCUCUCUCUUUCUCUAAAACUCUCCAAGCACUCAACCAAGGCAUCUUUAGAGAACUCUGUCAAAACUAAGAUCAAACUUAAGAUUCAACUAUCCCACUUGAUUCUAAACUCAAAUCUAAUAAUAUAAAGAAACAAUAGAUUCAAAGCUUUCUCACUUUACCUUGAAAAAUGCUAAAAAUGAAAUAAAAAUAAAAACAAUAAUUUUCAAUUUUUAGACCUUAUAGAUUAUGGUUAGAAAUCAUUUUAUCUUGCUGGAAAAUCAAAGAAUGAUCAAAGAAAUCAAAAGAAAACUUUACUCCUCAUCCCUUCCAAAAUUGGCAAUAUGAUCGAUCGAGAGGGUCGCACUAGCGACCACUAUAACGCUCCGGAUCCGACUGAACUUCCAAGUCUUGUUUGGGGUGUUACAAAGCCAAACAACAACAAUUAAAUUGGUUACAUCAAAUUUUAUUAUUAGUUUUGUACUAUGUUUAAGUUGAAGAUUUAGUCUCUAUCCUUUGAAUAAAUCAUUUUUAGUUUCUAUACUUUUCAAGUUUUGAAAUUUUAGUCUUAGCUUAAAUGGUAGUCAUUAAGUCCGUCAACUAAAGUGGCUUCAUUUUUUGUGUGUGUGAAUAUUAUGUGAAAAUAACUAGCCUAUAUGGUAUGACACAUGUGAUAAUAUUUUUCGCAUAAGAUUUUAGAAAUAGUAAAAUUUAACUUACCGAAUUUAAUAACUACCUUUUGGUCAGAAUUGAAAUUUUAAAAUCCAAAAAGCACACGAACUAAAAAUAUCAAAUAAUAAUAUAAAGAUUAAGUUUGCAACUUAUUAAUAUUAUAGGGACCGAUAGUUUAAUUUAACUACAAUUUUAAUUCAAAUAAAAUCAUGAAUACUAACUGAAGUAGAAGAAAUAUGUAAUUUAUGAUUUAACUACUGUUUCUCAUUAUUGGAAAUAAUAAAAGGUAUGCCACUUGAUUUUUUUUAAUAUGUUUCAUAUUAUAUAAAUAUCAAAAUAAUGGAUGAAAAGCUAGGUGUUUUUUUAAAAAAUAUUUAUAUUUGACACAUAUUUUAAAAUUUUAAUAUAAGAUAUAAUUAUUUAAAUAUAUAUAAAAGUUAAACAUACGUGCCUCGAACAUAUUUAUACUUAGUAGCUUCAAAUUAUGAAAGAUUUUAAAAUCCAUAGCGUUUUAUAGGAUAAAUUAAUCAUAUAUGUCAAAAAGAAAAAGUUUAUUAGUUAAAUAGGUCAUUUUUUAAAGAAAUAUAUCGAUUUUAGAGAGUGUGUAUGAAAGUUGGACUCAUUUUCUGUUUUCUGAUUAGGUAGCAGGAAAGGCAGUUGGAUGCGCUUUCCUUUUAAAUAUUAUUUUUUAAUUUUUUUAAUAUAGUUAGUUUUUUUUAUCAGGUGGUUAAAUAUUAGUGGUUUUAUCAUUAAGUCUCAAGUUUGAUUCUUCUCCUACUCACAUUUGUGUUUUUUAUUUUAUGUUGUUUUAAGCUUUUUAUUAUUUUUAAUUAAUGUUUUUAACAUAUUAGCUCUUUUGGUUAAAUGGUUAAAUAAUAAUAAUUUUAUCCUUGAGUUUCAGGUUCAAUUCCCCCUCUUCUAAACACAUUUGUAAUUUUUAUUUCAUGCUUUUUAUUUUUAAUUAAUAAAUAUAUUGUUUUCAAUUUUUUUUAUUUUUAGUUCAUCUUUUUAAUUGAUAUCUUUUUUAAUGAAAAAAUCAAAUAAUAAAUAUGUAAUUAUAUAAUAAAAAAUAUAUAUUUUACAUAUAUCAUUAUGUUAAAAAUAUUUGAAAUUAAUAACUCCUUUAUAUAUAAUAUAAACAUCAAAUAAUUUUUUUGAUAUAUUUUCUUUAUAAUAUUUAUAUACAAAUAUUUAUUUUCUCUACGUAUAUUGUGGGUAUGGUGAUUUCUAAUAUUGUAAGAUGAAAUAGUUAUUCAAAUAUAAUUAUUAUUUUUAUAUGUAAAAUAUUUCAAAUAUCAUUGUUUUUUUAUCUACAUUGUGGGUAUGAUAUUUCAAAUAUUUUUAUAUGUGAAAUAUUUUAAUUAAUUAUUUCAAAUACCAUUAUGUUUAUAUGUGAAAUAUUUCAAAUACACAUACAAAAAUAUAUAAUACUAAAAUUUACUACACUUAUGAUAUGGAUUGAAAAUUAAAUAUUACACAUAUAAAAAUUAUAUUUACUAAAAAUAAUUAUAUUUGUAAUAAUUAUUUUAUUUUAUGAAUAAAAGAGAUAUUAAUUAAAAAGAUGAACUAAAAAUAAAAAAAUUAAAACAAUAUAUUUAUUAAUUAAAAAUAAUAAAAAGUUUAAAACAACCUGAAAUACAAAAUACAAAUGUGAGUGGGAGAAGAAUCGAACCCCGGACUCAAGAACAAAACCAUUAAUAUUUAAUCAUCUGACCAAAGAUACUAAUUAUAUUAUAAAAGUAAAAAAGAAAUGCAAUUCAAAGUGGGUGCGCUUUCCUGGCAGCGCUGGACGUACUUUCACACACACUCUUCAAAAUCGGUCUAUUUCUCUAAAAAAAGGCCUAUUCAACCUUUUUUUUUUGUAUAUAUUACUAAUCUAGCCCAUUUUAUUAAUCAAUAUUGCAUCAACUUUUAAACCUCAAUAUUUAAAAAAACAUCCUCCAACUUUUUUUUGGUGAACUAUAAGAGGAGGGUAAAGCCCUAACAGCAAUGAUACUAGUGCGACUCAAACCUAAGCCACACUUGAGACAAUGAAUACCACACUUGAGACAAUAAAUACCCUGACCAUCAGACCAACACACGAAGUUCAAAACAUCCUCUAGUUUAAUUAUAAAUUAUUUACAUGUAUGCACAAAAAAAAUCAUUAAUAUAAUAUUUUGAAUGAAAUUAAUUAAUAGUUUUUUCUUUUCAAAAAAUUAAAUUAAUUAAUGGUUGAAUUUUCUAGACUGCUUCAAAAUACAUCUUUUCUAUAAGUUACUGUUAAUUAAAUAAUGACUUAAUAUAUAAUUUGAUAUUUAAGUUUAAUAUUUUUAAUGCGGUACUUGUGUUUUUUUUUCAAUUUGACCUUUGUAUUUGACAAAAGGUAUAUAUUUUGAUACACAAAGGUAACGGUGUUCAAAAAACUUUUAUAUAUAUUUCUUUUAUAAAUGCAUACAUUUAUCAACAUUGUAAAAUCUUUUAAAACAAUUUUCAAUAUUUAAGAACGAGUUAAAUGUGAUCUUAAAACACUUUGAGUUAUCAGAUAGGGGCACAUCCAAGUUAUAAAAAAAAAGUUCAAAGUUUGUCGGCUAAAAACGAAGUCUUUCGACUUGAGAAAUAUAAAAGUUUCACAAUAUAUUAAAAAUUUAAUCAAUUUGAAUAAAAUCAUUAAAUAACAUAAAAAUAACUUCAAGGUUUUAAAAUCAACUUAGAAGCAUUUAGAAACACUUUUCGAGUGAUCGGAGGUGUUCGAGGUUAAAUACCAGCUUUGGGGAGCUCAAAACAACCAAAAUAGUGCAGUAGCCUCAUAUCGAUACCUAACCCCUAGGUAUCGGUACCUAGACCACGUACUAUAACAUUUCAACUACUGACUUGUUCGAGUGUGAUGUCUAUGAUAAGGGAACUAGACCCUGGGCCCCUGAAACUGAAAAUAGGUAAAAAAAACACUUUAAAAACAUAACCAAACAUCACUAUAUCAUUUUAUUAUGAAUCAAAACAUUAUAAAUCAAAAUUUAAACUUAUUUAAACUCAAAUACAAAGCAUAAACACAUUCAUGGGUAGAAUAACAUUCACAAUGGUUAAGAAAACUAUAAAGAAUUUAAACAUGCUAUUCCACCUUACAACCUUACAUACAAAAUAAAGCUUUGUAUACAUGCCACCUAAUUUAACUCAAAUAACAUUCCAAUAUUUAGAAUACAACCUUAAAAGUUUGUCUAGUGAUGCAAUGCUCCCAAGUUAUCAUAGCGACUUCUCGACAAGGCCAUAUCUACAUGUUUUAAACCACUAACGCGUGAGCUUUAAAAGCACAGUAAGUAACAACGAUAAUCAAACUUAUCCUACGUCCUUAUUAAUGUUGAGUCCUUCAAUGAAAUACCUUACCUAGCUCAUUCAUGCCAUAUUUUAAUCAGUUUAUUAAUUUUUACCAAAUGAAGGACUCAACUUACCACUUCAGGUUUUAUUAGUUGAUUAUCCAAGUUCCAUAUGAGAAAUUUGUUAGUACAAAAAUUCAAUGAGGAAAAUAUCGAACACACAAAAGCAACACAAACAACAAGUCGAACAAAAAACGAAGAAAUAGGACAAGGCUCUAAGGUGUGUAUCGAGCCACUAUCUUUAAGGUUCUAUUCACCCCUACCUAUAAUGGUGUGCAAAUGAGUUUCAAGCAAAUGAACCUCGAGAAUACAAUGAAGCAUGAUGAUUAUUUGCGUUUUGCACUGACUAAAAUAGUAAGCACUAAGCAAUGUAUAACAAAAAAUUCAAUUUCUAUAAAGAAUUUCUGCAAUAGCUCUUUAUAGAACAGUCUAAUAAUAUUAGAAGAUGGAAGAAAUAUAGAAUAUAUUUUUAGAACUUAUUGGUAUAAUUUCCAAAUGAUAUCUCAUUCCUAUUUAUAGGAAUUUUCAUGUCUCUUCAUAGAGACAUCUUUCAAUAGGUGUCUUUUCUAAAUAAUAUCUUUAAAAGAGAAAUAAUUAUUCAUCUUAUAUCUCUUGAUUAAACAUAAGUAUUCAAAUGAUAUUGUUUGAAUAGUCAUAAUUUUUUGUCAAUAACCAAGAAGAUAUAACUUUUGAUUAAUUACACCAUUUCAUUUAUAAUUAUUGGAACACUAUAAACAUUUGAAAAUCUUCCAACAAUCUCCCCCCAUUUUCAAAAUAUUUUAGAUUUUGAUAAUAUUUGAAAUCAAUUUACAUAAAUGAAGGUGUCUUACGAUUGAACCUUCACUUAGUGAAAACAUGUUAAAGUUAAUCGAAAUUCCAUGGUAGACUAAGCUUUGAACCAAUUAUUCCAUUUGAUUAAUUGAACACAUCUCACAUAAUGAUUUCAACACCGAUCAAUGCAUAAUAUCUAGAGACACUAUUAUGGCCAUGUGUUUGUGUCCUCUUUUCAUGAGUGUUGUCAGAGCCAAGCUCUUUAGCUUCUAGAACCGGCCACACUUCCACUCAGAUAGGUAGACCCCAUCAAGAGUGCUUUCGUAAUUAUAACACUUUAACAUAUGUAUGUUAUGAGUCUAUUAAGAGUAUAUUACUCAUCCUUCCCUUACCAUUACGGGUACCUAGCACUUUAAUCUUAGGAUGCAUUUAUUUGUAGUGCUAGCAAUCACAUACUAAUUAUAUACUUUGUCUCAUUAAACUUAAGACUUAACAUUAUACCAAGAGUUGAAUCAAGUUUCCGUCAUGGGUGAUUCUAAUUAAUGGGUUUGAGUCCCAUCCCUUUUGAGGUCUUGUUGAGUACAUCUCUAGCAAGACUUUUUAUCAAAGGAUCCACCAAAUUUUCACUUGUCUUCACAUAAUUAAUAGUGAUCACUCCAUCAAAGAUUAAUUGUUGGACAUAGCUAUGUCUUAAUCCAAUGUGUUUAGACUUUCCAUUAUAUACUUGGUUAUAUACCUUUGCUAGAGUAGCCUCACUAUCACAACGGAUAGAAAUAGCUGAAAUUGUUUUAGGCCAUAGAGGUACAUCAUAAAGCAAAUUUCUUAGCCAUUCUGCUUCUUUAGAUGCAACGGCUAAUGCAAGAAAUUUGGCUGCCAUAGUGGAAUCAAUAAUAAAUUUUUGUUUCUUAGAACCCUAAGAAAUGGCUCAUCCACCAAGAAUGAAGAUAUAUCCACUAGUAGAAACAUGAUCUUCCAAACUUGUAAUCCAACUAGCAUUCGAAUACCCUUCUAAAAUUAAAGGAUAUCCAUUAUAGAACAAUAAAUAGUUAAUAGUUUUUUUUUAAAUACCUAAGUACUCUAUUCAAAGCUUGUCAAUGCAAACUACUUGGAUUACUUGAGUACCUACUUAAUUUCCCAACAACAUAUGAAAUAUUUGGUCUUGUACAAGUCAUUAUUUACAUAAGACAACUGGGACUUGUAUAUUUCAAUUGAUUAAUUUUUCUACUAGCAUUAGAUACUAAUUUUAUUUGAGGAUUCAUGAGUGUAGAUGUUGGUAUAAAAUUAAAAAGAUAAAACUUUUUAAGCACAUUUUCAAUGUAAUGUGAUUGUGAUAAAGCUAUAGUGCUUUCCUCUCUGGUUAUUUUAAUCCCAAGAAUAACAUCUGCUACACCCAUAUCCUUCAUAGGAAAGUUGUUUGAGAAAAAUUUCUUUGUUUUUUUUAUUUGUUCCAAAUAUGUGCCAAAUUUUAGCAUGUCAUCUACAUAUAAUAAAACUAUGAUACCUUUUCCAUUUUCAAAUUUGCUAUAUAUACACUUAUCAGAUUCAUUUAUUUUAUAGCCAUUAGGUAGAACAACCUUAUCAAACUUUUGGUGUCAUUGCUUUGGGUUUGUUUAAGUCCAUAUAGAGAUUUAACAAGCUUACAUGCCUUAUGCUCCUAUCUUGGAACAACAAAUUCUUCAGGUUUUUCCAUGUACACUUCCUCUUCCAAUUCACCAUUUAAAAAUGCAGUUUUAACACCCAUUUGGUGAACACCAAAAUUAUACAUUAAGGUAAGUGAUAUUAAGAGUCUAAUCUAAUCUAUCACAAUUCGUUGUAGCAGAUUAAACCAUUUUUUCGUACUCAAAAAGCUCGUAUAAAUGCAAUUUAGUUAUGUUUUUACUUAGUUUCCAUUUUUUGUUCAUAAAUAAUAAAAAGUGUAAUUUGAGUCAUUUAUAUGACCUUAAGGGCCAAAAUAAGCCUAAAAGAAGGCUAUCGUAUUCGGUGAGCGUGUAGGACAUCAUUCGAAGGCAUAAGAACACGAGACUGGUCGCGAUGUUGCAACACAAAGUGUCGAUGUUGCAACAUAAUGAGCAGAGCACUCAAAACGAGCAAACUACCUUCAAUGUCGCGACAUACCCAGAAGGGGUCAUGACACAACCCUGUAAUCAAGCUUUAGCUCGUAAACUACCAUCAGUGUAGCGACACAAGUCAAAGGGAGUCGUGACACCGCUUUGACGGGAAAAAUUAAUGAGCCAAGGGCAUUUUGAUCCACACAACAAACUUUAGUGCAAAAACGUCAGUCGAAUUAAGUCAACAGAUGACGACUAACCCUAAGCUUAUAAAUAGACAACUCUAAACACUUCAUAGACAACUUUUAUUCAGGUUUUAGUAGACGUCUUUCAUUUAGUUUUAUUUUCAAUUUCUUUCUAGUUUAUUUUGUACUUAGAUUUCUUUUAUCAUUGUAAUUUUAUUUUAGUUUCUUUUUCGUUCUUAGGGGAAUAUGAUUUGUGGAAACAAUCGAAUCUUUGCAGGGAAUAUGAUGUUUAUUAGAUCCAUAAGGAACUAACCCUUUUAUAGGAGAUUAGCGAGUAGAUGUGGGAGUAAUUAACUCUUAUGUAAGGUUUCCCAGCAAAUCAGCUGAUUAGGAUAGGAAGAACUUAAAACCCUAGGCCUGACAACCCUAGAAAGUCAUCUAGGUAGGAAGGAACCCAAAAUUGGUAUUGCCUAUUCAUGAACACCUUACUUCAAUUCGGUCUAGACUAUGAGGUCGAGAGAUAAGUAAUUCUUGUCGACUCAUUAGUUUAGUGGAAGAUUGAAAGGUCCUGUUAGGUUAAUGACUAGUUGAUUGAGUAGAACCCAAAAAAAGGAGUUAGUUUUGACCACUGAAAUAAGUUAGUCUUCUGUCCUUAGUAUUGAUAAAAUUUAUAAAUUAUUUUCUCUUCUUUGUUUUUAUGCAUUUUAAUUAUUUUUAUAAAAUAUGAUUUUUCAUCACCCUAGGAUUCAUCGUAAUAUAGUUUAAUUAAAUUACUAAUUAGAUCUAUUAACGUAGAGAUUAGAAUUAGUUUAAUUUCGCCUCUCUUGGAUACAAUUCUUAGAGUACUCAAAUACUUCGUUGUAUAAAUCUAUAUUACAACCUGACCGUAUACUUGCAGAAACUACCUAACGAUUAUAUUUGGUUGCAGGAUUUACACUCUAUACGUUAGUAUGUCCGGAGGCAAUCAAGUUGCUGGCGUCGUUGCCUGGGAGGCAACGCCACUAGAUUAGUUUAAUUUUUAUGUUUAAUAGAAUAAUUAGAAAAUUUUUAAAUUAUAGAUACGAUUUUAAUUUUUAGUUGUUCUUUUUCUUUACUUGCAUUUUUGCUUUUUCUUUGUGGUUUUAGUGCAUGACUUGAAAUAAGGGCACACCCAUAAAGCCGACCAUCGAUCCAGAAAGAGUUAUUCAUAGAAAUCGUGGACAAUAACAACAGUAGAUGCAGAAUAACCCACCUGCUACUGUCAAUCCACAACACGAAAAUUCAUUUUUUGAUAUUCUUAAAUUGCUAGAUCGACCACCACCACUAUCGCAAUUACCGCUAAAAUAGUAGAUGGCUCAAGAGGAACACACACUGGGAGAUUACGCAUUACCAACCCUCGACGCAGUACAAGGUAGCAUCGCAAGGCCGACUAUAACCCAAAUAAUUUUAAGAUAAAGCCGACAAUGAUCCAGAUGAUACAAAAUAACAUAUAGUUCAAAGGGACAAUAAGGGAGGACCCAAACUAGCAUAUAAAAUGAUUUCUCCAACUUUGUGAUACUUUUAAGUCUAACGAGGUCACAAAUAUUGCUAUUCAUCUUUGGUUGUUCCCUUUCUCCUUAAUAGAUAACGUUUUCUCUUAGUUAGACUCGCAUGCACCAGGAUCCAUCAAGACAUGAAACGAACUUUCAAAGAAUUUCUCAUACAUUUUUUUCUAUUAGCAAAACGAUCCAACUGAGAAGAGAGAUUGCCACAUUUAAGAAAUUAGAGAAAGAAAACUUUCACAAAGCUUGGGAAGGAUUCAAGUCGCUGGUACAAAGAUGCCCUCACCAUGGUUUACUUGAUUGGUUACGAUUGCAGAUGUUCUAUAAUAGGCUAGAUGUACAAUCAAGAUUAGGACUAGAUGGAGCUGUAGGAGAAACUUUGAUAAACCAAACAUACGAAGAUGUGUAUGAUCUGAUAAAAAACAUGGUAAUGAAUUCUUGCCAAUGGCCAAAUGGGCGAUUUACUUACGGCCAAAGACCAUCCACAGUUAAAGUUGUCCAUAUGGAAGACAAGUAUCAACAAAUUUUGGACAAACUUACCCAGAUCUAGUCAACAUCUAGUAGGUCCACAAUAUAUGGUGCAGAUAGACCAAUUGGCCAGUAUCCUGAAAACCCAACCGAGAAUGUAAAUUACAUUAGGAAUGGGGGUGUAAAUCCCUAUUCAAAUACUUCUAAUCCUAGUUGGGGAGAUCACCCAAAUCUAAGAUGGGGUGGCAAUCAAAUAGGAGGUAACGGUCCUAACCUAGUUAAACAAAAUAUUACUUACCAACCUCUAUAUUUAUAGAAACCUCAGGAAAGGGCCAACCCAAAUGACCAUAUUGUUUGUGGUCAAUGACUGGAUCGAAUUGAGGGAGAGAUGCAGUCAAUGCGAACAGUUGUAAGACAUAUGCAGUUUGAGUGCAUUCAGACAUGAACCACAUUAACAAAACUCGAAGAUCAAAUGAGCCAAUUAAUGAGCAUGAUGGGAGACAUCAAACGAAAAAUUGGUACGGACAUUCCAAACAAUACUGAAAAUAAUCCGCGAAGAGAAGGGAAGAAGCAAGUGAAGGCAAUAGCGCUCCGGUCAGGUGAAGUACUGAGUAGCCUGAAUAGCCCUACUCAAGAGGAAGACGAUGGGGAAGCUAAAGAUCUUCAAGACGAAAUCCCUCAAAACUAUGAUGGUGAACCAAAGCCAGAAAAGGUAGUCGAGCUAGCAGUUGAGUCGGAAGCCAAACAAAACGUAAAACCUGUACUAAAAAAGGUACCAUUCCCUUUACGGCUAGAGGGCAAGUUGAAAUGGGAUGAAGCGGAGUUCGUAAGUUUUUUAAACUUAUUUAAAUCGCUUAGCAUUAAUUUACCUCUCAUCGAACUAAUCGAAAAAUUUCCUAAGUAUGCUCAAUUUUUAAAGGAAAUAAUGGCUAAGCGUAAGAAAAUUAAAACGAAAGAGUAAGUUAACCUAUAUGCAUCAUGUAGUGCGAUCAUUACCAAACAAAUACCCCUUAAAUUAAAAUCCCCGAAAGUUUUACUAUUCCAAUAAAGAUAGGGAACAUUUAUUUCAGUAAGGCCCUAUGUGACCUAGGAGCCAAUAUUAAUUUAAUGUAUUUAUUGAUAUAUAAGACACUUGGGUUAGGGGAGCUCAAGAACACACAUAAAUAGAUCUUCAGUUCAACCGAAAGGGGUGCUCGAAGAUGUGUUGGUAAAGGGGCAUGAUUUUAUCAUCUUGGUCGAUUUCACAAUUUUAGACUUCGGGGAAGACCGUGAGAUACCUAUUCUGCUAGGGAGACCCUUCUUAGCUACAUCUAGGUCAACCAUCGAUUUAGAAAACAAUGAAUUAAUCAUGAAAAUCAAUGGUGAAACUGAAAAUUUUAAAUGUGGUCACCAAUAGAAUAAGGAAUGUAGAAUAUAUUUAGGGAGAACAUGUUAUAAUAUAUCUGUAAAUUUCCCUAGCAACCUUGAUCAAAGAAGGGUAUUUUUUAUGCUUCAUGCAGGUCGAAAGAUCAGGUACAAAGAACAGGACAAAUAGAGUAAGGUGGAAUGGCACGAUGGACGCUAGACCAAUUCUGAUAGACAACCAAUAAAUGAAGCGUCUAUGAAUAGACUAAAAGAGCUGAGAGACGAAUCUGGCAGCAACACCUGAUCUUCCUUACAUUAUUUUAAACUUUUUGUAAAUUAUUGUAUUUAAUAGACUUAAAUAUUAGUAAUUGGAUAGGAAUGGGCCUAAAUAGGUAGAUUAGGACUUAAUUUUUCUUUACAUUGCUUAGAAUUAGGAUAUUUAUGUACUGAACACCUUGAAAUUCAAGAGAAAAAGGCCAAAACAAGAUUGGGCUUGCAACACGACAUCUUUGUGUUGCAACAGUGAGUCUAGAAUAUUUUUUUUCAAAAAUUAAGUCAAUGUUGCGACACGAGUACCUAAAUGUUGCAACAUCGAAGACAAUAGCCCCAACUCUCAAAAUUUUAAGGUGUGUUAUGACAUCGGAAGACUUCCAAGGGUGUCGUGACACAAAACCCCUAUGUCGCGACAUUGUUGCAAAUGUUUACAGGGUUGACCCGACCUGUUGCGCAAUCCGACAGUCAAAACCCUAUUUUUACCCAGCUUUCUAACCUAAAACACUAAUUCUUUUCAAACCAAAACACUAUUAACACAAUCCUAAUACUCUUCUAACUUCAAAACACUUUGAACCUCUUUAAAACCCUUCCCAACUUCAAACCUUAUUUCCCAUUCUUCAUUGUUCUUUUCUUCUUUGUACUACUAAUAUGAUUUCUUUUUUUUUCUCUCUUUUGUGCAGGUGUAAGCUCCACAUCAACAAUGAAAUUGCAAUGAAUUCUUGAAAGGAAUCACGAAUAUUGAAUAUUAACAGGUUUCCUUCUCGAACUUUAUUGUUACAUUUCAUUUUGCGUUUUUGAAACAUAAAGUUUGAUUAUUAGUUCACCUAGCCAAAUAUAUUUGAAAAUGCCUCCUAGGAAGUCUAAAAGAACCAGAAAAACAAGAGGCGCUAGUGGUUACAAACCCCUCUAAAUUUUAAAACACGAAUGACAAAAAAUACUUUCUAGAACUACAAUGGAAGACAUUCAUCCAAGAAAAGGGUUUCGAGCCUUUGUUGGUCAUUUGUAAAGAAAUUUGGGUCUAGUACGGUAUCAUAGAUGGGAUCGAUUUUGCGUAACCGCAAAAGAAUACGUUACUAUCCUAGUUGUCCAAGACUUCUAUGCAUCUUUUAGGAUCAAGAGUCUAAGAGACCGUAUGAUGUCGUUUGGGAAACUAUAACAGUAAGAGGUACAAAGGUGUAUGUUAUCCCUCGAGAAAUUUUUAAGUUUUACAAUGUUUCAUAUUAUGAAACUGAUUUAACUCAAAGGAUCAUAUUAAUUAGUUGUGAUGACAUACAAGUGAAUUAAUCACUUUGUGAAUUAAUCAUUGAUAAAUAUACAAGUGAAUUAAUCACUUUGUGAAUUAAUUAUUUCUUGACAGUGAUCAUAUUAAUCAUUAAGAAGACACAAUGGUGACAAUGAGAUAAAAUAGGAUUUUAUUGAGUGAAUGAAUUUAACUCAAAGGAAUCAAGGAUAUCAUAUGAGGGUAACACACACAUGACGAGGUCAUUGGACAAACCAGUUGGAUGAAUUACUUUCGUAAAAUGUAUACAAUAAGAAGUUUCCAAUCAUGGUUCUUCUUGAGGACUAAUUCCAUGAUUAAGUAAUUGCAAAUUAUCGAAACGAUGCUUUUGGAUAUAAUUGCAACUACUAGAGCCUAAUUGUAUAUGUCUGAUUGGUCCCUCAUCUAGCUCAACAAAAGCUCGAUCGAAAUGCAUUUGAAUUAAAAGAAAAUUCUACGACUUUGGAAAUAAUGUAAUUGAUUUGUUUUAUUUGAAGUGGAAUUAAAUUAGGCGGUCGUGAGAAUUGUUCAAACAGAGAAUUUGAUUAAAAAUUUCUUGAAAAUUUAAAUUUAAAAAAUCUCAGUGAUUUUUGAGAAAAAUAAUUUUAAUAAAGUAAAAUUUAAUUAAUCAAAAUUAAUAUGAUAUUUUUGGAAAUUAAUUUUCAAGUCAAACAAUUGGUCCGAUAAGUAAUUGAACUUGAAAAUUGGACUUGAGAUCAAAAAUUGGGCUCGAGAACCCAAAAUUGAGAUCGAGACCAAAAAAUUGAUCGAACCGAGCCUAGUAUGUGAAACUAGACCGACAGUCCAACUAGUAGCUGGACCGAAUCGGUCAAGUCAUCACUGACCCAGAUCAAACCGACAACAACCGAACUGGCUCAGGGUGCUGUAAGGGUGUCAUGCCUCCACCAUCAGGCACUAUGGUGCUGACAGUUGCGGGGGCAACAUUUUGGUGGCCAGUGAGUGGUCCUUUGGUGGUUGAGUAGUGGAAGAAUUACACUCUUACUAGAACUCUAUCGGAUAAUUUAAUUUCAGAUUAACUAUUCCAAAAAUAAUAUUAUUUUAAUAGCUUUAAUAUUAAAUUUAAUUUAAUACUUAUCUUCAUAGUUUUAAUAUUAAUUUAAUAGAUUUAAUAGUAAAGUUAAUCUAAUAUUUAUCUUGAUAAGUAUUAUAUUAAUUCAAUAUUAAAGUGAUUAAGUUUAAUCAUAGUUGAACUCUCUAAACUAUCCCUAUAUAAAGAGAGUCUUGGGUCAUUAUUUUUCACAAACUUAAAUUCAAGAAAAAGCUGUAGAGAGAAAAUUAUUUGAAGAACUUAUUUUAGAAAAUUUCUAAAGAUAUUUUUUAUAUUUACAACUUGAUCCCAAAUUUUAGAGAAAUUGCAAAAGUACCCACUGGUAAUUUUGUGAAAAAUUUUCUAAUUCGAAGCGAGUCCACACUCGGCAUAUGUGAGUUUGAGGAUAGCGGAGAAGAGUACUCCGUAGAAGCGUUCAUCCUAGAUUAAUUGAAUAGGUACAAUUUUGAUUAAGUGUUUAUUACUUUAAAUAUCACAACCAAGUUCUAGCUUUGGAAAAACUUUUAAAACUCUAUUUUUUUCCCUUAAACUUAUUUUUUGUUGUGUUUUCUAAAUUUAAUUUGUCCAAUAAUUGGUAUCAGAGUCAGGUUGUGUUCUAUCUAUAUGUAUAAAUAGGUAAUCAAAAUAUAUUUCUAUGCUUCUUUAAUGAUUCGAUUACAUAGAAAGUGACACUUUUUAGAUCUUAUGCAUGUUUUGAGUUAUAUAUGGGAAUGGAUGCAAUAUUAUAUAUUUGUUAUAUAAUUGUUAUUUUUUCUAAAGUUGUGGUUCUUAGAAAAUAGACCAUGAACUAUCAUAUCCACGUAGGACUAUUUUUUUUAAAUUCAUAGAAUUCUUAUGAGCCAAAAAUGGACAUAGGACUUAAAUGUAAUUUUUUCAAAAAGGAGUCCAUGACGAGUAGAAGAUGGAGCGAUGGCGGUUAAAAACCCAAGGAAUUCCUUGUGGUGAAAAAUUGUAUAAUUUUUGUUUUUCAUUUAUUUUCUAGAAAUAGAACGAUGGAAACAUUGUCUGACAUAUGUAUGAGAUGAUCCACGGUUGAUAUAUUAAAAAAUAAGAAGUGUGGUAAUGAGAAGAUGCAUGUCUAGGAUUUGCUCUGGAAAGGAAAUACUUUGUUUUUAAGUGGUCAAAUAUGACUCACCUCCCUUUCCUGAGACCCUACCUGGUGCACGGUUUACAUCCACUUAUUUGAUUUUUCUCUUAAAAAAAACUGUGGAGAAUUAAAAUUAUUUUUUUAUGAUUGAUUGAUUCUUGUGAAUAAAUGAAUGUGAGUAUUAUAGAAUUGUCAUGCAUAUAUUGGAAGCAUGCCAUAUAGAUUAGGUAAUAAUUCCACUAAGACUAUUGUAUGAUCCUUCUUGAAACCUGGGAUAAAAACCUUGCAUGUUUUUAAAAUGUUGAGUGGGAGAGGGUCUUUGAACAAUACCUACGGCCUCCAUUGAUGGUCCCUAAGUGAUAGCAUGAUAAAAUUUUGACUCGAUUCCUACCCUGGUCGCACCCCAAGGUAAACUUUAUCAUAUGGGUUCAAUAGAUGGGAUUUCCUUUUAAGGACAACUAGUCAUGCAUGACUCUCAGUGAGAUUGUCUCAAGAUGACUCUUAUGAACUAUGGCAUGAAAAGAAACUCACUCUAAAUAACUUUAUAAUAUGGGGUUGUCCAACACACUUUCUGGAUAAUGAUGCAAAGAAGUUGGAUGCACGGACAAAAUUGUACAUGUUUGUAUGAUAUUCGAAAGGAACAAAUGGUGGAUUAUUCUACAAUUCGAAAGAUAACAUGAUUAAAAUUUCUAACAUUAAGGAAAGCUACAUGGAUAACUUUAAGCAUCGAAGGAAUGUGGUACUCGAGGAACUUUUGAGAGUUGUAGAACAAUCACCUAGUUUAUUUCUCGAGAAAGUUGUGGAAAGACCUACAAAUGAUCAUUAGCAUAGGGGAAUACGUCGUAGUGGGAGAGUUUCUAAGAAAUCGGACUUCUUCAUCUAUAAUGGUAGUAUUUAUAAUACGGAAGUUAAUCAUGAAGAUGAUGCUCCACUCACUUACGAGGAGGCUAUGAAGGUUAUUGAUUUCAAGCUCUAAAAAUAGGUUAUGGAUACCGAGAUGGAUUCGAUGAAAUCCAAUAUGAUGUGGGAACUUGUAAACUUACUGGUUGUGAUUAAACCCAUAAGGUGUAAGUGGAUCUAUAAGAAAAAGAGAAUGCGGAAGGGAAAGUGGAAACAUAUAAAGCUAGACUUGUAGGGAAAUGCUACACAUUGAAAGAAUACUUCGAUUACGAUGAGACCUUCUCUCCGGUAGACAUGCUCCAGACUAUCCACAUACUAUUAUCCAUUGCCACUGCUCUUGAUUACAAGAUCUAGAAAAUGGAUGUUAAGACAGUAUUCUUGUCUGGCUAUCUUGAUGAGACCAUUUACAUGACUCAACCCAUUGGUUAUGUUGUCAAAGGAAAGGAGCAGAAAGUUUGUAAACUGCUAAGAUCCAUUUAUAGACUUGAGUAAGCAUCUCGCUCAUAGAAUAAAAUAUUUGAUUAAACAAUCAAGACUUUUGGUUUUCAGCAAAACUCUGAUAAACCUUGUGUUUAUAAGUGUAUAAAGGAUAAAAAGGUGGUUUUCAUCGUUCUAUAUGUAGAUAUUCUACUUAUUGGAAACGAUGUACGAGAAUUGUCAUCGGUUAAACUGUGGUUAUCUCAACAAUUUAGCAUGAAUAACUUGGGUAAAACUAGUUAUAUUCUUAAAAUUCGAAUCCUUAGGGAUCGAAAGAAUAAAGCGAUAGCUCUAUCAUAAGCACUCUACCGACUGUAUCGGGUUUUCAUCUUUCUUUUGAUGACUAUCCUAAGACAACAGAAGAAAGAGAGCAUAUGAUUAAGGUUCCAUAUGCUUCAGUAGUUGGAAGCCUUAUGUAUGUAAUGUUUUGCACACGUUCAAAUAUUUGUUUCACCGUAGGAAUUGUAGAUGCGGUGAAAGUAGCUUUUGAAUAUAACCUUGUCGAUUUUUUUUGCUAAGACUUUUGUAACUAGGAGUUUUAACAACCAUGUCGAGGAUAUGAGAAUACAAAACAUGACACAUUUACUUUAUUAGGGCAAGUGAGAGAUUCUUGGGAAAGGUGUCCAUAUUGUAGUAAACAUGUAAUUGUUUUCUAUGUAUGUGAACAAUGAAUGAAUAAACAAAGUUUAUUUCACAUUUUACUAUUAUGUCAUUUGUGUUACUAUCUUUCAUGUUUUGCAUGCAUAGCGAAAUUGUGACAAGUGAAUAUUAGCUCAUUGAUUGUCUAAGUUUAAAUUAAUGAUAAGUAGCACUGUAAGAACGUUUAAAGUGCAAAAAAAAGACAAUUUACUUUAGUAGAUAAUCUAAACAAGUCUAUAAUCCCGUAAAAGAGUAAAAAUAAGCAUUUGAUUCAAAUACUUAGAAGGAUUAUUAUUUCGUCUACAAUUUCAAUUCGAGAGAUGGCUAGUCUUGGCUAUCGAAACAGUUUACUCUAUGGGUAUAGACAUAGAUGUACUCAUUGGAAGAAUGAUACAUUGGGCCGAACCCAAGAUGAAUUAAUUCUGAAUCUAUUUGGGAAUUAAUUCACUUGUGGCGUUUAUGGUGUGAUUUACCUAAAUCCUGAGUUAGUCAUAAACUAUGUGUGUCUAACUUAUGUGCUUUGAUAUAAAUGGAGGCUUAUGCUCUAAAGAUGGUCGAUCCCAUAGCCAGUAUGUUGGGUACAUGAGUUGUGCAUGGAUGGCUUUUCUAGCAACAAUGGAAUUCAUAGCUCGAUUAAAGAGUUAACGAUAUUCUCUAAUUGUCAUUGAAUGGAUUGAUUAAUAUGGAACAUGGCCAAGGGUUGCUUGUUCUCGAACAAGCAACUUAUCACAAUCAUUUGUUGACAGUGAUCAUAUUUAUCAUUAAGAAGACACAAUGGUGACAAUGAGAUAAAAUAAGAUUAUAUUGAGUGAACGGAUUUAACUCAAAGAAAUCAAUGAUAUCAUAUGAGAUAACACACACACAUAGGAGGUCAUUGGACAAAGAAAUUAGAUGAAUUGCUUUCAUAAAUAGUAUAUAAUAAGGAUUUUUCAAUUAUGGUACUUCUUGUGGACUGACUCUAUGAUUAAGUAAUUACGAUUUAUCGAAAUGAUGCUUCUAGAUAUAAUUGCAAUUACUAGAGCCUAAUUGUAUAUGUCUAAUUGACCCUUUCGCUAGCUUAACAAAAACUCGAUCGGACUGCAUUUGAAGCAAAUGAAAAUUCUAAGACUUUGGAAAUAAUUUAAUUGAGUCAAUUUAUUCGAUGUGGAAUUAAAUUAGGCUAUCGUGAGAAUUGUUCAACUAGAGAAUUUGAUUAAAAAAUUUUGGAAAAUCUCAGUGAUAUUUGAGAAAACUAAUAUGGUAUUUUUGAAAAUUAAUUUUCAAGUUAGAUAAUUGGCCCACUGGUAAUUGAACUUGAAAAUUGGACCUGAGAUUGAAAAUUGGACCUGAGAACCCAAAAACAAGACCAAAACCCCAAAAAUGGUCGAACCAGGCCUGGUAUGUGAAACCAAGUUGAUGAUCCAAUAGGUGGUUGGAUCAGAUCGAUCGAUUUGUCACUGGAUUAGACUGAACCGACUGCAAUCGGACCUACUUGGGGUGCCGUAAGCAUGUUACGCCUGCACCACCAGGCACUAUGGUACGAACGAUUGUGGCGGUAGCAUUCCGAUGGCUAGCGGGUGGUCUCUCGGCGGUUAAGUAGUGAAAGAAUUACACUUCUACUAGAACUCUAUCGGAUAAUUUGAUUUUAAAUUAACUAUUCCAAAAAUAAUAUUGUUUUAAUAGUUUUAAUAUUUAAUUUAAUUUAAUUUAAUAUUUAUCUUAUAGAUAAAUAUUCUGUUAAUUUAAUAGAUUUAAUAUUAAAUUUAAUCUAAUAUUUAUCUCGAUAAGUAUUAUAUUAAUUUAAUAUUAAAUUGAUUAAGUUUAAUAAUAGUUAAACUCUCUAAACUCUCUCUAUAUAAAGAGAGUCUUGGGUAAUUAUUUUUCAUAAACUUGAAUUAAAGAGAAAGUUAUAGAGAGAAAGUUCUCUAAAGAAAUUAUUUUAAAAAUUUUCUAGAGAUAUUUUUCAUAUUUAUAACUUGACCCCAAAGUUUAGAGAAAUUAUGAAAUUACCCCACUAGUAAUUUUUUGAAAAGUUUUUUAUUAGAAGUGAGCCCACACUCUACAGACAUGAGCUUGAUGAUAGCGGAGAAGACUACUCGGUCGAAACAUUUAUCCUAGAGGAAUCGAAAAGAUACAAUUUUGAUUGAGUAUUUAUUACUUUAGAUAUCACAAUUAAGUUUUACUUUUGAAAAAAAAUUUAAAACUCUGUUUUUCUUUUUGUUAAACUUAUUUUCCGCUACGUUUUCUAAAUCCGAUUUUUCCAACAGGUGAAAGUAACAGUGCUUGGUUACUCGUUAGGGUUAAACCUACACGAAUCAGAUAAUAGUGUUUGGUCAUCCAUUAAGGUUGAACCUACAUAAAAAAAUAGCUUGGCCAAGGCUUAAUAUACAUGUAUUCUCGAGUCCGCAACACAUGUUGGAGCUUGGAACCUAUGGGAAAUAACCCGUAACCUCGUAUAUGAGACUUUCACUAAUUUCAUCAGGGUUUAAUCUCACAUUAUACCAUUUCGCAACAAUCUAUUUCAAUCUGAUUCAAUGCUCAAUUUAGGUACUAAUUCAUAACCAAUUCAAUAUAUCAAUAAAACAUUAAUGAACAUACAGAUGAAGCUCAAUAGCAAUUUAAACAUAUUUAUACUAUAUGAACUUACCAAGGCUAAUAGCAAAAGCAGAAGUACCAGGGACUAGUCUGUAAAUUUCAUUUUUUCCAUAUUAUCAACCGUCUUGUUUAAAUCUUGAUCUAUAAUUUAAAUUUAUUUCAGCUUAAUCACUCAAAUAUCAUAAUACAUCCUAUUAAAAAUAUAUGUAAGCUUAAUUUUAUCUUUCAGUUAUUUCUUCAAGUAUUACAUUUUAUUCAAUUUAGUCCCUAAAAUCAAACUUAUCAUAACUUCCAAAUUUGGACUCCAAAUUUUAAACCAACUUCAAUAUAUCCUAUCACAGUCCUAUUAUAAAAAAUUAUAGAAAUUAGAUGUCAAUUUCAAGAUAUUAACAAUUUAAUCUUUAUGUUCAAAACUAACAAUUUCCACUUCACAAACUAGUUUUUUUUUUCAUUUCUAAGAUCAAAAUCUAACAACUUAACAUUAAAAGCUUCAAAUAUCAACAAUGGUAACAUUUUAAAACAAUAACAAUUUUAAAAAAGAAUAUACCAAUUAACUAAAUGAGUUACAACGACCCCGGGAACAUGAAAUUUACGAGAAAUGGAUGAAAAAUGACCUACCAUGCAUAAAGCUAAAGUUGGCCAAAUGUUGAAGCUUUAUCAAUGGCUUCUCAAGGUUUCAUUCUUUCCACGGUGAAGAAGAACAAAAAAGAAAUGGAUGAUGAAUUUUAAUUUUAACUUAUAUAGAUAGUUUAUUAAUUAAGUAAUCCUAAUUAACUUAAUUAAUCAUAAUUUAUUAACAAUGGAUGAUAUAUAGUUGUCUAUCACUAUACUAAAAAGGGUCAAAUUGCUCAAUUGGCGUUUCAGUUAAUUAAAAUUCCAUAAUGGUUCAUUUUUACCAUUUUUACAGUUUAACCUUUGUACAUUAAUUAGUCAUUAAUUUAGUAAAAUUACCUAUCCAAAAUUCAAUUCACCUAUAUAAUCACUCUAUAAAUAUUUAAUAAAAAUAUUUUCAAGCUCAGCUUAUGAAAACGAGGCCUCAAUACCUCAUUUUCCAAAAUCACUUGACUUUAGAACUGAAAUAUUAGAUCAAAAUUAUAAGAUCAAAAUUUACUAUAUCAUUUUACUUGACUCGUAAAUAUUAAAUAAUAAUAUUUACAGACUCACUCGUCGGAAUUGUGAUCCCAGAACCAUUGUUUCUGACACCACUGAAAAAUGGGUUGUUACAUUCUAAGUUUGAAUAGUUUAUCUUUAGAUUGUAAGAAUGCUAAUUAGGUGGAUGGUAUAGGAUGUUACACUUAGUGUUUUUUUAUGUUUUUUAUUUCAAAUUUUAGAACUCAUAACGUAAGUAGACAAAUCAUUUGGCUAACCCUACUUUUAGGCACUCAAAUGCUUUCACACAUACAUUUUAAUUCACAUUUUGAAUUAGGCCUUAUACACAUUUUCAGUGUUCACUUUUUUUCUUUUUCCAUAUCAUAGUCAUUUAUAUAUUUUUAUCUUGUAUCGACUCUUGAUGACAUUACGCAAGACUUUACAUUUUAAUAUAUUUUUUGCCAUAAUGGCUUUAUCCAGUCUUUCCAUGAUGUCAACACGGUUCAUACAUGUGCAUACAUACCCUAUCAAGUUUUAAUUUCUUCCAUAGAACCUUAGUAUCAUUUUCAUAUAAUUGACUAACAAGACAUCACAUAGCAACUCAUAAUUUCUCUUUCACAUUUUAAUUUUUAUUUUAUAUAACAUUAUAUCAUUGAAUUUCACAUUAUUAUUAACAUAAUUAAAUACUUAAUUAUAUCAUUGGUUUCAUAGUUUCCUAAGCUUACUAACUUAGAAGAAAUUAGAGUAUCCAAGGUAUUUACCUUAAUAGAUGCUCUACAAUACUUAAUCAAGUUUCCAUGUAUUGCAAUCCAUCAAUAAAGCUUGAAAAUCGAUGUCCUCAUUACCAUACAACAAAAAUACAUUAAAAGAUUAAUAUAAAAUUUUUCCAAACUUUUCUCAUAAUAUUUCAAAACAAGAAUCAAGCUAGUAGGGAUGUAGGAAGCCAUUUCUUACCUUAUUGAAGCUUUCUCACUCUAACUUCAACUUCUCUCACUAAAAAUCCAUAAACCCUAGGCUGUCAUUAAAGAAAUUGAUAGACGAAUUGAGUUUAGGAGAUUGUUUCCAUGGACAUUUUGACAAAAUCUCAAGGUUGAAUGUGAAGCUUUUGAGAGAAAAUGAAAAAAAAAAGUGAGGAAAAAUGAAAAAGAAUAAGAAAGAGACCCAUGAAGGUUGCUG
Molecule: long non-coding RNA, 21150 nt
Filed under: Gossypium barbadense (sea-island cotton)
Lineage: Eukaryota; Viridiplantae; Streptophyta; Magnoliopsida; Malvales; Malvaceae
Description: long non-coding RNA (GBAR_LNC017807)
Source: RNAcentral